AUGGGCUGUCGUCAGCUCGUGUCGUGAGAUGUUCGGUUAAGUCCGCUAACGAGCGCAACCCUCGUCGUAUGUUAUAUGUGUCAUACGAGACUGCCGGUAAAAGCCGGAGGAAGGUGAGGAUGAUGUCAAGUCAGCAUGACCUUUAUAUCCAGGGCUACACACACGCUACAAUGGUCUGUACAAUGGGGUAGCCAAGCCGCGAGGCGGAGGCCAAUCCUGAAAGCAGGCCUCAGUUCAGAUUGCAGUCUGCAACUCGACUGCAUGAAGCCGGAGUUGCUGGUAACCGCAGGUCAGCAAUACUGCGGUGAAUACGUUCCCGGGUCUU
RNAcentral lists this ribosomal RNA (325 nucleotides) under uncultured Anaerolineaceae bacterium. Its description in RNAcentral is "bacterial SSU rRNA". It matches the Rfam family "Bacterial small subunit ribosomal RNA", at positions 1045 to 1382 of the family's 1533-position model. The record is from RNAcentral. Lineage: Bacteria; Bacillati; Chloroflexota; Anaerolineae; Anaerolineales; Anaerolineaceae.